RNAcentral lists this microRNA (22 nucleotides) under Picea abies (Norway spruce). RNAcentral describes it as "pab-miR1312a". Lineage: Eukaryota; Viridiplantae; Streptophyta; Pinopsida; Pinales; Pinaceae. The record is from miRBase by way of RNAcentral.
UUCGGAGAGAAAAUGGCGACAU